RNAcentral lists this long non-coding RNA (575 nucleotides) under Brachypodium distachyon (stiff brome). RNAcentral's name for it is "long non-coding RNA (BDIS_LNC005368)". The record is from RNAcentral. Lineage: Eukaryota; Viridiplantae; Streptophyta; Magnoliopsida; Poales; Poaceae.
AGCCAUCACUUGAUUACUCCAUGUACGUACUAUACGUAGUGAGUACGGAGUACUCCGUACUUCCCAAGAGUUAAUACGGCGCCACACGUAUUCCAAUUUUGGUGGUGUUUGGUGUAUCCAUAUUGUCUUAAGGCGCAUGUAAUGUACGUACUACUAGUGCUUUCAUGCGUCGUGCAGGACCAGAGAUGCACACGCACAACUUAACCUGCCAACCAACAUACAUGAAUGCAUGACGAAUUGAACGUGACACCGUGCAUCAUAUAUAUCAAGCCAUCCAUCAUGCAUAUCUAUUGCUUUUUUUUUUCGUUUCACUUGAAUUCAAUGUCCAAAUUUUUUUGUUUCCAUGUCUUACUUGAACAAAUACUAUGAGAAAGAAAGACUAAGCUUGUGGGGACUGUCUCUGCUUUGACGUGACCAUCCAAUUAUAACAGGAAUGGAAUCGCCAUAAGUACAACGAAACCCCCCUUUUUUAAUUAUGAUCAUCAAACUAUAUAUAUAGACGGUCAAUGACUCAUCCAUGGAGCCAAAUGUUAGUGCUCGGUCCACGACAUCAUCGACCAUCAUGAACCAGUAGC